Molecule: ribosomal RNA, 434 nt
Filed under: uncultured Lachnospiraceae bacterium
Lineage: Bacteria; Bacillati; Bacillota; Clostridia; Lachnospirales; Lachnospiraceae
Description: partial 16S ribosomal RNA
Rfam family: Bacterial small subunit ribosomal RNA
Source: RNAcentral
ACGGAAGGCAGCAGUGGGGAAUAUUGCACAAUGGGGGAAACCCUGAUGCAGCGACGCCGCGUGAGUGAAGAAGUUAUUCGUAAUGUAAAGCUCUAUCAGCAGGGAAGAAAAUGACGGUACCUGACUAAGAAGCCCCGGCUAACUACGUGCCAGCAGCCGCGGUAAUACGUAGGGGGCAAGCGUUAUCCGGAUUUACUGGGUGUAAAGGGAGCGUAGACGGUCUAGCAAGUCUGAUGUGAAAGGCAGGGGCUCAACUCCUGGACUGCAUUGGAAACUGUUAGUCUUGAGUGUCAGAGAGGUAAGCGGAAUUCCUAGUGUAGCGGUGAAAUGCGUAGAUAUUAGGAGGAACACCAGUGGCGAAGGCGGCUUACUGGACGAUAACUGACGUUGAGGCUCGAAAGCGUGGGGAGCAAACAGGAUUAGAUACCCUGGUA